AGAGUUUGAUCCUGGCUCAGGACGAACGCUGGCGGCGUGCUUAACACAUGCAAGUCGAACGAUGAAGCCCUUCGGGGUGGAUUAGUGGCGAACGGGUGAGUAACACGUGGGCAAUCUGCCCUUCACUCUGGGACAAGCCCUGGAAACGGGGUCUAAUACCGGAUAACACUCUGUCCCGCAUGGGACGGGGUUAAAAGCUCCGGCGGUGAAGGAUGAGCCCGCGGCCUAUCAGCUUGUUGGUGGGGUGAUGGCCUACCAAGGCGACGACGGGUAGCCGGCCUGAGAGGGCGACCGGCCACACUGGGACUGAGACACGGCCCAGACUCCUACGGGAGGCAGCAGUGGGGAAUAUUGCACAAUGGGCGAAAGCCUGAUGCAGCGACGCCGCGUGAGGGAUGACGGCCUUCGGGUUGUAAACCUCUUUCAGCAGGGAAGAAGCGAAAGUGA
Molecule: ribosomal RNA, 447 nt
Filed under: Streptomyces sp. 8LB8
Lineage: Bacteria; Bacillati; Actinomycetota; Actinomycetes; Kitasatosporales; Streptomycetaceae
Description: bacterial SSU rRNA
Rfam family: Bacterial small subunit ribosomal RNA
Source: RNAcentral